RNAcentral lists this transfer RNA (72 nucleotides) under Marmota marmota marmota (Alpine marmot). It matches the Rfam family "tRNA". From Rfam's summary of the family: Transfer RNA (tRNA) molecules are approximately 80 nucleotides in length. Their secondary structure includes four short double-helical elements and three loops (D, anti-codon, and T loops). Further hydrogen bonds mediate the characteristic L-shaped molecular structure. tRNAs have two regions of fundamental functional importance: the anti-codon, which is responsible for specific mRNA codon recognition, and the 3' end, to which the tRNAs corresponding amino acid is attached (by aminoacyl-tRNA synthetases). tRNAs cope with the degeneracy of the genetic code in two manners: having more than one tRNA (with a specific anti-codon) for a particular amino acid; and 'wobble' base-pairing, i.e. permitting non-standard base-pairing at the 3rd anti-codon position. Lineage: Eukaryota; Metazoa; Chordata; Mammalia; Rodentia; Sciuridae. RNAcentral also lists the same sequence under 1 other name. The record is from Rfam by way of RNAcentral.
UGGGGUUUAGCUUAGUGGCAAAGCACUUGCCUAAUAGGCAGGAGGCCCUGGGUUUAAUCCCUAGUACCUCAA